GUGCGGGCCGUGAGGGGUGUGCGCGCUUGAGCCGGAGCGGGGCUCGCCCCUCGUCGGCUCCCGCCGCCCAGCCGGUGAUCGCUCUCCGGCCGUCCCCGGCACCCUCGGCCCCCCACGGCGGUUGGUCCGGGCGGGGGAAGGAGAAAGUGAGACUCGGUGUCAUCACCAAUCCAUCGCCAGAAGGGGAGGAAACUGGAAUCCAGCAGCGGCGAGCAGCAGCUGGACGGUAACAUCUGGAAAUGGAAAGCCGACCUCCCCCUCCUCCUCCACCUCCUCCUCCUCCUCCUCCUCCUCCUCCUCCUCCUCUCACCCAGGAUCACUUCCAAAACCACUUGGCCUUCAGCCCCUGCCUCGGCCAGAGGUUUCAUUUUUAACUGAAUAUUUACGAAAGCUGAAAGCGUGCGAGGGGGGUGGGGUGGAAAUAGCGGCUGCUUCUUUUCCAAGGAUUUAUUUAAUGGGGAUGUGUUCAAGGCAAGACCGAAUUCAGAAGGAUAUCGACGUCGUGAUCCAGAAGUCCAGAGCUGAGGACUGCCUGUUUGCAGGGCCCGCCUGGCAGGACGACUGAGCAAGUCCUUGGAAAACCAGAGAUAUUAGAGCGGUGAAUCGCGCUGGUCACGUUGGACACCUGCGCGUUAGGAGAUUCUGGAGCCAGAGGGAGAGACCCCAGAAACUCCCCGGUCGGCGACCCAGCCCGAGACGCCUGGGGUCCCAAGGGAAGCUGAACGCCCGGUGGGCUCCCGGGAUGGUUCUUCCGGUUCUUUGUGCCGCCUUCACCCAGUGAAGGAGCCUGUAUCCACCCUGCCCAGUCGCUGUUGGGCUGCUGCGGAGCUUCCGCUGCCAUCUUCGGAUCCUGUGUUCCGCCCGGGGCUCCACCAGGGCAGGGAUGGUGGUGAGGGUCGCUCGUGGGUCCCCUGGCAGGGAGCAGGGUCUGGCACUCACAAGGGCGCACGACUAGGACUUGUCGAAUGAAUCCUUUGUCGCCUUUAGCUUUUAGUCCUUUGAAGAGAGAAUGGGGAAAUGGAGAGAGAACCUGAAAGAGCCCCAAACUCGAGGACCUAUUGCUCCCCAAGAAUAACAUCUUCCAGAACUAGACAGAAAACUAGGCGUCUGGGAACCCUGAAAUCCUUGGAGGAGUAGAUCAUCAUGACCCUCUGUGUUCCUUUUGGCAAAUGACUUGCUUCCAUUGUUUGUUUGUUCAAUUGUCUGUUUGUUAAAUAAAUAAAACCCUUUUCAU
This 1234-nucleotide long non-coding RNA is filed under the name Homo sapiens (human). RNAcentral describes it as "HSALNT0295622". Lineage: Eukaryota; Metazoa; Chordata; Mammalia; Primates; Hominidae. The record is from RNAcentral.